RNAcentral lists this ribosomal RNA (535 nucleotides) under Osedax deceptionensis. Its description in RNAcentral is "partial 16S ribosomal RNA". It matches the Rfam family "Bacterial large subunit ribosomal RNA", at positions 1807 to 2608 of the family's 2925-position model. Lineage: Eukaryota; Metazoa; Annelida; Polychaeta; Sabellida; Siboglinidae. The record is from RNAcentral.
UCAAAAACAUAGCCUUUUGAGUAAAUUAUAAAAGGUUCAUCCUGCUCUAUGAAAUUAAAUUAAAUGGCCGCGGUAUCCUGACCGUGCAAAGGUAGCAUAAUCAUUUGCCUCUUAAUUAGAGGCUGGAAUGAAUGGACACACGAAAUCUUAACUGUCUCAUAAGUUUUAUUAAAAAUUUCUCUCUAAGUGAAGAAUCUUAGAUUAAAUUGAAAGACAAGAAGACCCUAAUGAGCUUUAAUUUUAUCACAUUUACCUUUGAAAUUCUAAUUAUCUUAUAAAUUAAGUAAAAUUUUUGUUGGGGCGACAAAAGACACUCACUGACAUCUUUACAUUAACUCAGAGGUAUUUCUCAAUACAAUUGACCUAAUCACAUUAAUCAAUAGCACUAGCUACCAUAGGGAUAACAGACUAAUUUUUCUUUAGAGCCCAAAUUCACAGAAAAGAUUGGCACCUCGAUGUUGGCUUAGAGGCCCCUUGUGAUGCAGCAGUCACAAAAGGUGGGUUUGUUCAACCCUUAAUACUCUACGUGAUCUGA